This 396-nucleotide ribosomal RNA is filed under the name uncultured bacterium. Its description in RNAcentral is "bacterial SSU rRNA". It matches the Rfam family "Bacterial small subunit ribosomal RNA", at positions 29 to 429 of the family's 1533-position model. The record is from RNAcentral.
AUUGAACGCUGGCGGCAUGCCUUACACAUGCAAGUCGAACGGCAGCACGGGAGCAAUCCUGGUGGCGAGUGGCGAACGGGUGAGUAAUACAUCGGAACGUGCCCAGUAGUGGGGGAUAACCCGGCGAAAGCCGGACUAAUACCGCAUACGACCUACGGGUGAAAGCGGGGGAUCGCAAGACCUCGCGCUAUCGGAGCGGCCGAUGUCAGAUUAGGUUGUUGGUGGGGUAAAGGCCCACCAAGCCGACGAUCUGUAGCUGGUCUGAGAGGACGACCAGCCACACUGGGACUGAGACACGGCCCAGACUCCUACGGGAGGCAGCAGUGGGGAAUUUUGGACAAUGGGCGCAAGCCUGAUCCAGCCAUGCCGCGUGCGGGAAGAAGGCCUGGUGUAACG